GAUGAACGCUGGCGGCGUGCCUAAUACAUGCAAGUCGAGCGAACAGACGAGGAGCUUGCUCCUCUGACGUUAGCGGCGGACGAGUGAGUAACACGUGGAUAACCUACCUAUAAGACUGGGAUAACUUCGGGAAACCGGAGCUAAUACCGGAUAAUAUAUUGAACCGCAUGGUUCAAUAGUGAAAGACGGUUUUGCUGUCACUUAUAGAUGGAUCCGCGCCGCAUUAGCUAGUUGGUAAGGUAACGGCUUACCAAGGCAACGAUGCGUAGCCGACCUGAGAGGGUGAUCGGCCACACUGGAACUGAGACACGGUCCAGACUCCUACGGGAGGCAGCAGUAGGGAAUCUUCCGCAAUGGGCGAAAGCCUGACGGAGCAACGCCGCGUGAGUGAUGAAGGUCUUCGGAUCGUAAAACUCUGUUAUUAGGGAAGAACAAAUGUGUAAGUAACUAUGCACGUCUUAACGGUACCUAAUCAGAAAGCCACGGCUAACUACGUG
This 497-nucleotide ribosomal RNA is filed under the name uncultured bacterium. RNAcentral's name for it is "partial 16S ribosomal RNA". It matches the Rfam family "Bacterial small subunit ribosomal RNA", at positions 28 to 507 of the family's 1533-position model. The record is from RNAcentral.